UACAGAGGGUGCGAGCGUUGUUCGGAAUUACUGGGCGUAAAGGGCUCGUAGGUGGCCAACUAAGUCAGACGUGAAAUCCCUCGGCUUAACCGGGGAACUGCGUCUGAUACUGGAUGGCUAGAGUUUGGGAGAGGGAUGCGGAAUUCCAGGUGUAGCGGUGAAAUGCGUAGAUAUCUGGAGGAACACCGGUGGCGAAGGCGGCAUCCUGGACCAACACUGACGCUGAGGAGCGAAAGCCAGGGGAGCAAACGGG
RNAcentral lists this ribosomal RNA (253 nucleotides) under uncultured bacterium. RNAcentral's name for it is "partial 16S ribosomal RNA". It matches the Rfam family "Bacterial small subunit ribosomal RNA", at positions 524 to 776 of the family's 1533-position model. The record is from RNAcentral.